CCAUCGGUGGUUCAGUGGUAGAAUGCUUGCCUGUCACGCGGGCGGCCCGGGUUCGAUUCCCUGCUGAUGCA
RNAcentral lists this transfer RNA (71 nucleotides) under Cordylochernes scorpioides. RNAcentral describes it as "tRNA-Asp". It matches the Rfam family "tRNA". From Rfam's summary of the family: Transfer RNA (tRNA) molecules are approximately 80 nucleotides in length. Their secondary structure includes four short double-helical elements and three loops (D, anti-codon, and T loops). Further hydrogen bonds mediate the characteristic L-shaped molecular structure. tRNAs have two regions of fundamental functional importance: the anti-codon, which is responsible for specific mRNA codon recognition, and the 3' end, to which the tRNAs corresponding amino acid is attached (by aminoacyl-tRNA synthetases). tRNAs cope with the degeneracy of the genetic code in two manners: having more than one tRNA (with a specific anti-codon) for a particular amino acid; and 'wobble' base-pairing, i.e. permitting non-standard base-pairing at the 3rd anti-codon position. Lineage: Eukaryota; Metazoa; Arthropoda; Arachnida; Pseudoscorpiones; Chernetidae. The record is from RNAcentral.